RNAcentral lists this ribosomal RNA (253 nucleotides) under uncultured bacterium. RNAcentral describes it as "partial 16S ribosomal RNA". It matches the Rfam family "Bacterial small subunit ribosomal RNA", at positions 524 to 776 of the family's 1533-position model. The record is from RNAcentral.
UACGAAGGGUGCAAGCGUUAAUCGGAAUUACUGGGCGUAAAGCGCGCGUAGGUGGUUCAGUAAGUUGGAAGUGAAAUCCCCGGGCUCAACCUGGGAACUGCUUUCAAAACUGCUGAGCUAGAGUACGGUAGAGGGUGGUGUAAUUUCCUGUGUAGCGGUGAAAUGCGUAGAUAUAGGAAGGAACACCAGUGGCGAAGGCGACCACCUGGACUGAUACUGACACUGAGGUGCGAAAGCGUGGGGAGCAAACAGG